UAGAGUUUGAUCAUGGCUCAGAUUGAACGCUGGCGGCAGGCCUAACACAUACAAGUCGAGCGGAAACGACACUAACAAUCCUUCGGGUGCGUUAAUGGGCGUCGAGCGGCGGACGGGUGAGUAAUGCCUAGGAAAUUGCCUUGAUGUGGGGGAUAACCAUUGGAAACGAUGGCUAAUACCGCAUAAUGCCUACGGGCCAAAGAGGGGGAUCUUCGGACCUCUCGCGUCAAGAUAUGCCUAGGUGGGAUUAGCUAGUUGGUGAGGUAAUGGCUCACCAAGGCGACGAUCCCUAGCUGGUCUGAGAGGAUGAUCAGCCACACUGGAACUGAGACACGGUCCAGACUCCUACGGGAGGCAGCAGUGGGGAAUAUUGCACAAUGGGCGAAAGCCUGAUGCAGCCAUGCCGCGUGUAUGAAGAAGGCCUUCGGGUUGUAAAGUACUUUCAGUUGUGAGGAAGGGUGUGUAGUUAAUAGCUGCGCAUCUUGACGUUAGCAACAGAAGAAGCACCGGCUAACUCCGUGCCAGCAGCCGCGGUAAUACGGAGGGUGCGAGCGUUAAUCGGAAUUACUGGGCGUAAAGCGCAUGCAGGUGGUUCAUUAAGUCAGAUGUGAAAGCCCUGGGCUCAACCUAGGAACUGCAUCCGAUACUGACAGGCUAGAGUACUGUAGAGGGGGGUAGAAUUUCA
This 685-nucleotide ribosomal RNA is filed under the name uncultured Vibrionaceae bacterium. RNAcentral's name for it is "bacterial SSU rRNA". It matches the Rfam family "Bacterial small subunit ribosomal RNA", at positions 1 to 671 of the family's 1533-position model. Lineage: Bacteria; Pseudomonadati; Pseudomonadota; Gammaproteobacteria; Vibrionales; Vibrionaceae. The record is from RNAcentral.